ACACGUGGGCAACCUGCCUGUAAGACUGGGAUAACUUCGGGAAACCGGAGCUAAUACCGGAUAAUUCUUUCCACCACAUGGGGAAAAGCUGAAAGACGGCAUCUCGCUGUCACUUACAGAUGGGCCCGCGGCGCAUUAGCUAGUUGGUGAGGUAACGGCUCACCAAGGCAACGAUGCGUAGCCGACCUGAGAGGGUGAUCGGCCACACUGGGACUGAGACACGAUCCAAAUCCAUACGGGAGGCAGCAGUAGGUAAUCUUCCGCAAUGGACGAAAGUCUGACGGAGCAACGCCGCGUGAGUGAUGAAGGUUUUCGGAUCGUAAAGCUCUGUUGUUAGGGAAGAACAAGUACAAGAGUAACUGCUUGUACCUUGACGGUACCUAACCAGAAAGCCACGGCUAACUACGUGCCAGCAGCCGCGGUAAUACGUAGGUGGCAAGCGUUGUCCGGAAUUAUUGGGCGUAAAGCGCGCGCAGGCGGUCCUUUAAGUCUGAUGUGAAAGCCCACGGCUCAACCGUGGAGGGUCAUUGGAAACUGGGGGACUUGAGUGCAGAAGAGAAGAGUGAAAUUCCACGUGUAGCGGUGAAAUGCGUAGAGAUGUGGAGGAACACCAGUGGCGAAGGCGACUCUUUUGUCUGUAACUGACGCUGAGGCGCGAAAGCGUGGGGAGCCAAACAGGAUUAGAUACCCUGGUAGUUCACGCCGUAAACGAUGAGUGCUAAGUGUUAGAGGGUUUCCGCCCUUUAGUGCUGCAGCAAACGCCUUAAACCCUUCGCCUGGGGAGUACGGCCGCAAGGCUGAAACUCAAAAGAAUUGACGGGGGGCCGCACAAGCCGUGGAGCAUGUGGUUUAAUUUGGAGCAACGCGAAGAACCCUUCCAGGUCUUGACCUUCUUUGACACUUCUAGAGAUAGGACGUUUCCCUUCGGGGGACAGAGUGACAGGUGGUGCAUGGUUGUCGUCAGCUCGUGUCGUGAGAUGUUGGGUUAAAUCCCGCAACGAGCGCAACCCUUGAUUUUAGUUGCCAGCCUUAAGUUGGGCCCUUUAAGGUGACUGCCGGUGACAAACCGGAGGAAGGUGGGGAUGACGUCAAAUCAUCAUGCCCCUUAUGACCUGGGCCACCCCCCUGCUUCAAUGGAUGGUACAAAGGGCAGCAAAACCGCGAGGUCGAGCAAAUUCCAUAAAACCCUUCUCAGUUCGGAUUGUAGGCUGCAACUUGCCUACCUGAAGCCGGAAUCGCUUGUAAUCGCGGAUCAGCCUGCCGCGGUGAAUACGUUUCCGGGCCUUGUUCACCCCGCCCGUCACACCCCCAGAGG
Molecule: ribosomal RNA, 1315 nt
Filed under: Niallia circulans
Lineage: Bacteria; Bacillati; Bacillota; Bacilli; Caryophanales; Bacillaceae
Description: bacterial SSU rRNA
Rfam family: Bacterial small subunit ribosomal RNA
Source: RNAcentral